RNAcentral lists this ribosomal RNA (277 nucleotides) under Ixodes ricinus (castor bean tick). RNAcentral's name for it is "partial large subunit ribosomal RNA". The record is from RNAcentral. Lineage: Eukaryota; Metazoa; Arthropoda; Arachnida; Ixodida; Ixodidae.
UAUUUUGACUAUACGAAGGUAUUGAAAUAAGAUUUUAAAUGAGUGCUAAGAGAAUGAUUAAACAAUUAAAAGCUUUCUUUAAUUGAAUAAUUGAAUUUAAUUUUUUAGUGCAAAAGCAAAAAUAAAAAUUAGGGACAAGAAGACCCUAUGAAUUUUUUAUUAAAUUUUAUAAAACUUUAUGUAAAAUUUAAUUUAAUUGGGGUGAUGGAAAAAGAAUAAAUAUCUUUUUUUUUAAAAAAAAAUUGGUUCCGUUUUUAGCGAUUAAAUGAAAAAAAUA